GUGCCAGCAGCCGCGGUAAAACGUAGGUCCCGACGUUGUUCGGAUUCACUGGGUGUAAAGGGCGCGUAGGCGGUUGUUUGUGUCUCAUGUGAAAACUCAGGGCUCAACUCUGAGAUUGCGUGGGAAACUAAGCAGCUAAGAGGACGGUAGAGGGGAGUGGAAUUCCCGGUGUAGCGGUAAAAUGCGUAGAUAUCGGGAAGAACACCGGUGGCGAAGGCGGCUCUCUGGGCCGAUCCUGACGCUGAGGCGCGAAAGCUAGGGGAGCGAACCGGAUUAGAUACCCGGGUAGUCC
This 292-nucleotide ribosomal RNA is filed under the name uncultured prokaryote. Its description in RNAcentral is "partial 16S ribosomal RNA". It matches the Rfam family "Bacterial small subunit ribosomal RNA", at positions 505 to 796 of the family's 1533-position model. The record is from RNAcentral.